UGUGAAACAAGAUACAGGCUAGCGGCGGACGGGUGAGUAACACGUGGGUAACCUGCCCAAGAGAUCGGGAUAACACCUGGAAACAGAUGCUAAUACCGGAUAACAACAGAUGAUGCCUAUCAACUGUUUAAAAGAUGGUUCUGCUAUCACUCUUGGAUGGACCUGCGGUGCAUUAGCUAGUUGGUAGGGUAACGGCCUACCAAGGCGAUGAUGCAUAGCCGAGUUGAGAGACUGAUCGGCCACAUUGGGACUGAGACACGGCCCAAACUCCUACGGGAGGCAGCAGUAGGGAAUCUUCCACAAUGGACGCAAGUCUGAUGGAGCAACGCCGCGUGAGUGAAGAAGGGUUUCGGCUCGUAAAGCUCUGUUGUUGGUGAAGAAGGACAGGGGUAGUAACUGACCUUUGUUUGACGGUAAUCAAUUAGAAAGUCACGGCUAACUACGUGCCAGCAGCCGCGGUAAUACGUAGGUGGCAAGCGUUGUCCGGAUUUAUUGGGCGUAAAGCGAGUGCAGGCGGCUCGAUAAGUCUGAUGUGAAAGCCUUCGGCUCAACCGGAGAAUUGCAUCAGAAACUGUCGAGCUUGAGUACAGAAGAGGAGAGUGGAACUCCAUGUGUAGCGGUGAAAUGCGUACAUAUAUGAAAGAACACCGGUGGCGAAGGCGGCUCUCUGGUCUGUUACU
This 680-nucleotide ribosomal RNA is filed under the name uncultured bacterium. Its description in RNAcentral is "bacterial SSU rRNA". It matches the Rfam family "Bacterial small subunit ribosomal RNA", at positions 73 to 741 of the family's 1533-position model. The record is from RNAcentral.